RNAcentral lists this ribosomal RNA (405 nucleotides) under uncultured bacterium. RNAcentral's name for it is "partial 16S ribosomal RNA". It matches the Rfam family "Bacterial small subunit ribosomal RNA", at positions 28 to 526 of the family's 1533-position model. The record is from RNAcentral.
GAUGAACGCUGGCGGCGUGCCUAAUACAUGCAAGUCGAGCGAAGCGGGGACGGGGGAGUAACACGUCGAUGACCUCCUAUAAGACUGGGAUAACUUCGGGAAACCGGAGCUAAACCGGCUUCUUAUAGAAGGAUCCUCGCUGCAUUAGCUAGUUGGUAAGGUAACGGCUUACAAAGGCCACGAUGCAGAGCCGACCUGAGAGGGUGAUCAGCCACACUGGAACUGAGACACGGUCCAGACUCCUACGGGAGGCAGCAGUAGGGAAUCUUCCGCAAUGGGCGAAAGCCUGACGGAGCAACGCCGCGUGAGUGAUGAAGGUCUUCGGAUAGUAAAACUCUUUUAUUAGGGAAGCGGUACCUAAUCAGAAAGCCACGGCUAACUACGUGCCAGCAGCCGCGGUAAUAC